CUCCACAAGUUUUACACAGCAUUCACAACCCCUCUAAAAGGAAGGGGAGAGAGAGAGAGAGAGAGGUGGGUCUUGUUGUGAUCACAUUUUUGCUUCAUUUGGGUAUUCUCCUCUCUUCUUUUUUACAUGACCUCUCUGAAGUUUCCAGAGGAGAAAACCAGGUAAUUAGGGCUUUUGGUGUUAUAAUGCUGAGGAAAAGGAGCAGAUCAUACCAGAAAGAUCAACAAAUGGGUCACCCUAUAUCUGAUGUUACUCCUGAUUCCUCUUUCCAGUCUGAUGUCUUGGGGCAAAAACACAAAACUAAUUCUUUUUUCAAUAUCCCUGGUCUUUUUGUGGGGUUGAGUCCUAAGUCUUCAGAAUCUGAUUCAGUUAGAAGCCCUACUUCACCAUUGGAGUUUAGGAUUUUUUCUAAUCUAAACAACCCGUUUAGGUCCCCAAAAUGUUCCCAUGGGGGACAUCACAAGAGCUGGGAUUGCACUAAAGUAGGGCUGGGCAUUAUAGAUUCUCUUGAUGAUGAUGAGAAAUUAUCAGGGAAAAUUAACAGGUCAUCGCGUAGUAAAAGUACUCUUUUUGGACCACAAAUGAGGAAACCCAGAAUUUUCGUAGCCAUUUUGAUUCGUUUGAGUCACUCAAGUCACUGCCAAAGAAUUAUGGAAUUUUUCCUCAUACCCGCAAGAUUAAAUCAUCCAAUCUCCAAAAGAGAAACUCUAAUGUUCUGUUUGGUAUCGGAGAAAAUCCGUUUGAACCCGUUAAAAUCCUAUCUGUUCACUUGAUUCUUCUGGCUCAUAUAUGACCAGUUUAACAAACCCCAGCAUCAAUCCGAGUUCGAUAAAUCGAACAAACCCAGUGAGUUUUCCUUCUCAAUUGAGUGGAGGGGGCCAGAUUUUUGGCUAAUCAUCACCUCCAAAGCUGAAUCCCACCCAAAUUUCCAAUUCCUCUGCCCAGGAUAUUUUAGGGUCCCUCUCAGCUAGUGAGAUUGAGCUUUCUGAGGAUUAUACUUGUGUGAAAACAUAUGGUCCUGAACCCAAAACAACCCAUAUUUUUUGUGACUGCAUUUUAGAAUGUCACAACAAUAACUCAACCAAUCUACCUAAGAAUGAAGAACAGAGUCCUCCAUUGCCUUUAACAAUGCUGGUUACGUCCUCUAAAAUCCCUACUGCAUAUCCCUCCUGUGACUUUUUGAGCUUUUGUUACUCUUGCAAGAAGAAACUAGAGGGGGAAGACAUUUACAUGUACAGAGGGGAGAAAGCAUUUUGCAGUUGG
Molecule: long non-coding RNA, 1263 nt
Organism: Rhododendron vialii
Lineage: Eukaryota; Viridiplantae; Streptophyta; Magnoliopsida; Ericales; Ericaceae
Exons: 3
Source: RefSeq, a predicted model, not a curated record